Molecule: long non-coding RNA, 836 nt
Filed under: Homo sapiens (human)
Lineage: Eukaryota; Metazoa; Chordata; Mammalia; Primates; Hominidae
Description: HSALNT0231183
Source: RNAcentral
UCACUUGCCUAAGGUCAUGCAGAUCAUUAAUGCCAUAGCCAAGACCUGAGCACGUUCUCCUAAAGCCAGGUCAGGCCUCUUGUCACAUACUCCAUUGACUCUAGUGCCUAACCCAUGCUCAUCACAGAGCUCACAUUGGAACCAUUGUUAAACAGACUCUAAUGGAAAUGACUUCGUUCAGCUGGUGAACAUUUUGGAAGAUUCCAGAAAAACAUGAACAAGUGUUUGAGUGCUCUUAAGGGGAUUGUCUAAUAUCUUGGCUCCUGACUCAUCCUUAGAAGUCUUCCAGCCACCUUGUACCCAUUUCAAGCCCAAGGGCUCUUUAACGUAAAUGAGUUACUGAGCAGGGUGCAAUGCAAAUUGCUUUGGCUUCCACACAGCUCCUGUCGCUUCAAGUGCGGAUGGUUAAUGGGACCUGGACUGGAAAAGGAUUGUUUGUGUGGGAAUCAUUCAUGGCAAAGGCAGUGACACCUCCUUCAAAAACCUGUGUCUUUCUGGCAGAGUGUUGCUGGAGAUGGCCACUGGAGAGGCUGAGUCAAAUCAAUCUCCUCACCUGAGGACUUCCUAAGACCAGCGCACUGAAGGACCAGCAGCAACAACAACAAUAAUGCUAAUGCUCCCUUAUGGACAAGACUGCAAUUCUCUGCCUGCUGAAGCUCAGCUAUGACCACGUGACUUGCCUUGGCCAAUGAAAGAGGAAGAGUAUGUAACACUGCUGAAUGGAAGCAAGUGGCCCCUGCCCCUGCUGCAGAGAUUCUAGACAUGUGUGCCAUGCUGGAGCAAGGAGACAGGGAGUCCUGGAGAAAGGAGACAUGGAACAGAGCUCCCAGCCCAGU